This is a non-coding RNA of Anas platyrhynchos (mallard), 473 nucleotides long. The record is from RefSeq and is a predicted model, not a curated record. NCBI's taxonomy places the organism in Eukaryota, Metazoa, Chordata, Aves, Anseriformes, Anatidae.
CCUACUUAUUCUUUAUUGCCACUGUGGAAACAAUAGUUACAAAUGCAUUAAUCUUACUGCACUCUCUUUUUAACCGUUCAUUCUGGAGUAUGUAAUACAUUUAUCUUUCAGUCCCAUGGGUCUGAUCUGAAGACUAUUGAAAUCAAUGGAACAAUUCACAGUGCUUUCAGAGAAUACUGGAAAUGCAUUAAAAGCAUGUUGGGGCACAUUCAAGUUGAAGAUAUUUCCCGCAAGGUCUCAUUCAUGCUACAGUCACACCAGGACAACAACUCCAACAUAUAGCAAACUAAUGUCAAACAAAUUUUCUGAUUGCUGGGUAUUGUUUCUCCUGGAACAUGUUGGAUACCUCUGAGGUAGGAUUUGUCGAUGUCUUUAUGUCUCCAUCUCUUAUCAUGACUGACAGUAUUAGAAAUAUCUGGGUUUUUGCAUACUUUCUUUCUCCUUAGUUUCCUAAAAUCUUUUCUCAUGUUGAA